This 121-nucleotide ribosomal RNA is filed under the name Octodon degus (degu). Lineage: Eukaryota; Metazoa; Chordata; Mammalia; Rodentia; Octodontidae. The record is from RNAcentral.
UAUAGUCAUACCACCCUGAACAUGCCCAAUUUUGUCUGAUCUCGGAAGCUAAGCAAGGUCAGGCCUGGUUAGUACUUGGACAGAAGACUUUGGGGAAGAAAAGCCAGAAGUUCCACUAUGU